RNAcentral lists this ribosomal RNA (406 nucleotides) under uncultured bacterium. Its description in RNAcentral is "partial 16S ribosomal RNA". It matches the Rfam family "Bacterial small subunit ribosomal RNA", at positions 29 to 526 of the family's 1533-position model. The record is from RNAcentral.
AUUGAACGCUGGCGGCAGGCCUAACACAUGCAAGUCGAACGAGUGGCGGACGGGUGAGUAAUGUCUGGGAAACUGCCUGAUGGAGGGGGAUAACUACUGGAAACGGUAGCUAAUACCGCAUACCAUCGGAUGUGCCCAGAUGGGAUUAGCUAGUGGGUGGGGUAAAGGCACACCUAGGCGACGAUCCCUAGCUGGUCUGAGAGGAUGAUCAGCCAGAAGGGAACGGAGACAGGGUCCAGACUCCAACGGGAGGAGGCGGUGGGGAAUAUUGCACAAGGGGAGAAAGCCUGAGGCAGCCAUGCGGCGUGUAGGAAGAAGGCCUUAGGGUUGUAAAGUACUUUCAGGCGGAAGGCGUUACCGACAGAAGAAGCACCGGCUAACUCCGUGCCAGCAGCCGCGGUAAUUC